GAUGAGAGCAGAAAAGGACCGAAGCGGAUGGAACAGCUCCAAUGCAAGCGACAAACUGUUUGUUGGAGGUCUUAGCUGGGAAACCACACAAGAAGCGUUGCAAAGAUAUUUUGCCCGCUAUGGGGAGGUCAUUGACUGUGUGGUUAUGAAAAAUAGUGAAUCAGGCCGAUCCCGAGGAUUUGGAUUUGUAACUUUCUCUGACCCAGCCAAUGUAACAAUAGUGUUGCAGAGUGGACCUCAUCAACUAGAUGGUAGAACGAUUGACCCUAAGCCAUGCAAUCCCAGGACACUUCAGAAACCAAAACGAGCCAGCAGUUACCCCAAGGUGUUUUUGGGAGGCUUGCCUUCAAAUGUGACAGAAACAGAUUUAAGAUCCUUCUUUACGCGAUUUGGCAAGGUUCAGGAGGUUGUGAUUAUGUAUGAUCAAGAAAAGAAAAAGUCUAGGGGAUUUGGUUUCCUCUCCUUUGAGGAUGAUGAUGCUGUUGACCGUUGUGUAUCAGAGCACUUUGUUAACUUGAAUGGAAAACAGGUUGAGAUUAAAAAGGCAGAACCCAGAGAUUCAUCAAAUAAAAUGGGCGGUGACAACUCCUGGGGUCCUCCUCAAGGAGGUCCUCAGAUGGGCAUGGGCGGCGGUGGCAUGGGAAUGGGAGGACCUAAUGGACAAAUGGGAGGCCCCAUGAGUGGCCCUAUGGGACCCAUGGGUGGCCCCAACAUGAUGCAAGGAUACCAAGGCUGGGGCAACACACAGGCUCAGGGCUAUCCUGGCCAAUGGGGCCCAACCUCCAACCAGCCCCCUGUGAAUGCAGGCUAUGGUACUCCAUCAGGCCCAGCUGGAUAUCAGGGAUGGGGCGCUCCUGCCGGACCUCAAGGACAAGGGAUGGCUCCGCAGUGGGGUUCCAAUUACGGCGGUCCACCGCAGCAACAGGGAUACAGCUCCUAUGGACCUCAAGGCGCACCUCAGUCGGGCUACGGACAGAACUGGAACUGGAACAUGGCACAGAAUGGCCCUCCGGCUGGCGGUGCUCCUCAGGGUCCUUCCGGAGCAGGUCCCCAAGCUGACAUGUACUCCAGAGGCACUGGUGCUGGGGCCGCAACACCCUCUGGCCCUGGACCUGCGGCUCCUGGUGCUGGUGGUGCACAGAAGGCUGGUGCAGACUAUGCUGCUAGCUAUGGUUAUGGAAGUGGUGGAUACGGAGCGGACUCAACCAGUUACGGCGCCAACAGGGGCUAUGGUGCUGAUGCGGGAUCCAACUCUAGUGGGGGCGGCUAUGGUUCGAGCCACCCACCCGUCCCAGCAUUCCAAUGGAAAGGCAGUUUUUCAAGUACUGCAGGCACCAAAAUUCUUUGAAGGCGUAAGUAAGGCUGCUCAUAACAUAAAAUUGUCCCAGAACUAAUUAAUUGUUUGGUUUUUCGUAAACCCUGCUCGUUAAUUUGAAUUAGUGCAACACCAGUAGCAAUUGCGUGUUAGUAGUUGAUUGAGGAGGUUAAACGUUGUUUUUCUCUAACCUCAGCGAUAAACUGAUUACCUGCCUAACAAACCAGUCUUUAUCUGCACAUGAUUGAACAAAAUUUACUGAGAGCAAGUAGGAUAGGUCAUCAAGGCUAGGAUACACUGAAGUUAGCUGGAGGCGAACUUUGACUUAAUCAAAACCACCUGGCUUUCACUCCCUUUACCAUGGCCACACAUAACAGCAUGUGGAAAAAAAAGUCACCUACCAUUUAAAUACAAGCUAAAAGACUACUAUCUCUCUUUCUCUGCCUCUUCCUUCUGCUUCAUGCGGGUGAAUUCUUAUAUUUUUGUCUGGAGACGUGCUCACAUACAUGAUAGGAUGAGCUUCUCCAUCCAUCAAGUGUGGACAUUGCAUGGUCAGAAUUCAGAGAUAGGAUCAGAACCAAAUGUUUGGGAGAGAGCCUUUUGUGUCGUGACACAGUGCUGCAUUUACAAGCCAUUCCUGCUAACCUUUGUUCCUGCUUCUUUUGUCCUCAAGCUAACUCACGGAAAUGCUCUCCAAACAUCAGAGUUCUUGUCAGCAGUCAGGGUGACGGGCAGGGAGCAUCAGGAGGCUACACGGCUGGGCCUGGCCCUCAACGAGGAGGCAACUACAAUGCCCCUACUCAAACCCAGAGUUUCCACCCC
Molecule: unclassified non-coding RNA, 2137 nt
Filed under: Thrips palmi
Lineage: Eukaryota; Metazoa; Arthropoda; Insecta; Thysanoptera; Thripidae
Description: heterogeneous nuclear ribonucleoprotein 27C, transcript variant X6
Source: RNAcentral